Molecule: long non-coding RNA, 887 nt
Filed under: Aotus nancymaae (Ma's night monkey)
Lineage: Eukaryota; Metazoa; Chordata; Mammalia; Primates; Aotidae
Description: lncRNA (ENSANAG00000038698.1)
Source: RNAcentral
UCACCUCCUGCAUUUUCUGCCCGCCCUGNNNNNNNNNNNNNNNNNNNNNNNNNGACAGAUCGAGACUCCACCUCAAAAAAGAAAAAAGAAAAAGAAUUCAAAUCUGAUUUUCUUGCCAGCCAUGCUUUCACCAUGAUGGAGAAACCUCGUCCUAAUGAGAUUGACUUACUGUCUCCAUCGUGAUAGAAAUAAUUCAUUACAAUUACUCCUCCUAUCAGCAGUGGCAGCAGCCAGGUCAGCCUUGCGAGAAGCCGAGGAUAAGCCCAUCAUUACCUCUGUCCCAGCUCUGUGGCCAUUUUGUUCAUUGCCUCCAUAGGCAGGUGCUGACUUGAUGGGAAGGAGCUUGAGCUACAUCCACAGGAGGCUCUUCUUAUCCACUUACUUACUAAAGCCUUAGCAGUGAGGACAUUUUUAUAGGUAUUUAUAUGACACAUAAAUACCCUCACUUUCUAGAUCUCUUCUGAGAGGUUCAUCUACAUCCUCUCUCCCAAACCUUGUCACCAAUCUAAGUCCAUGACCACCUGACCCAGACAUUGGUAAAGAGUCCUCAUGGCAAAGAGAACCACAGGAGUGCUACUUCUGUCUGCAGAGAGGAUUUCUUCUUGCUGCUGUCCUCGAAGACCACUUUGAAGUGCAUCUGUAACACUUUAGCAAUCCACUUCCAGCUGAUCCUACCUGUAAACUGAGCUCAAAUGUUGCACUCCGUAGUCACCUGCUUCAUGCCGCAGAAGACUAGAGUGAGAGUCACAGGCCACUCCCAUCCCAUUUCCCUGAGCGCCUACAGCCUACCACUAUUCUGGUACCAACUUCUUUAUCGGUUGAGUUCUGGAUGGCAAGCAACAGAACCACUGCCUACUUCAAGCUCACAGAAUCUCCAACAGUGCCCA